Lingula anatina is the source of this 557-nucleotide long non-coding RNA. The record is from RefSeq and is a predicted model, not a curated record. Lineage: Eukaryota; Metazoa; Brachiopoda; Lingulata; Lingulida; Lingulidae.
UCUUUUUUACAGGGGAACACUGGAAACGUGUGAAGUGUACUGAUGAAGGACAAACUAUAAAUGCGACAAAGGAUAAUGAAACGACAUGCUGGUGCGAAGAAUUCAAUGGUUACGCCCCUGACAGACCUAAGGAAUGUUGGGAACAAGGCACACCCUCAGCAUGCCUUUGCACAAAAUGUCCGAACGGGACAUGGCCAAACAUAAGAAAAGGUUGAUCCGUUGUCAAGUCAACAUAUACAGUCAUAUGGCAACUGGUUGCGCGUAGGAGAAUAUUCAGAACGGAGCGCGUGCGCUGAGAUGACGUCGCGGUCGAAAUUUUGCAAAAUGUGUAACUAUCGCAGAAAUUCAUGAAUUGCCCUUAAUUUCCCUCAUACGUGCUUGUGAAAAAUCAAGAAGUGGUAGCAGAGUUCACUACGCGUCUUUACGUGUGCGAUUUACUUGCAAGGAAGCAGACAUGAAUGAGAUAGAACUCGAUGAAGUCGGCCAACGGGUCAAUUUUGGGCCGUAGCAACACUGUGACAAUGUGAUAUAUCUCCUUUAUUAGAAACAACGUAUCU